GAUGAACGCUGGCGGCGUGCCUAAUACAUGCAAGUCGAGCGAACAGACGAGGAGCUUGCUCCUCUGACGUUAGCGGCGGACGGGUGAGUAACACGUGGAUAACCUACCUAUAAGACUGGGAUAACUUCGGGAAACCGGAGCUAAUACCGGAUAAUAUAUUGAACCGCAUGGUUCAAUAGUGAAAGACGGUUUUGCUGUCACUUAUAGAUGGAUCCGCGCCGCAUUAGCUAGUUGGUAAGGUAACGGCUUACCAAGGCAACGAUGCGUAGCCGACCUGAGAGGUGGAUCGGCCACCCUGGAACUGAGAAACGGCCCAGACUCCUACGGGGGGCAGCAGUAGGGAAUUUUCCGAAAGGGGCGAAAGCCUGCCGGAGCAACGCCGCGUGAGUGAAGAAGGUCUUCGGAUCGUAAAACUCUUUUAUUAGGGAAAAACAAAUGUGUAAGUAACUAUGCACGUCUUGCCGGUACCUAAUCAAAAAGCCCCGGCUAACUACGU
Molecule: ribosomal RNA, 496 nt
Filed under: uncultured bacterium
Lineage: Bacteria
Description: partial 16S ribosomal RNA
Rfam family: Bacterial small subunit ribosomal RNA
Source: RNAcentral